Molecule: ribosomal RNA, 452 nt
Filed under: uncultured bacterium
Lineage: Bacteria
Description: bacterial SSU rRNA
Rfam family: Bacterial small subunit ribosomal RNA
Source: RNAcentral
ACUCCUACGGGAGGCAGCAGUGGGGAAUAUUGCACAAUGGGCGCAAGCCUGAUGCAGCGACGCCGCGUGGGGGAUGACGGCCUUCGGGUUGUAAACCUCUUUCAAUAGGGACGAAGCGCAAGUGACGGUACCUAUAGAAGAAGCACCGGCCAACUACGUGCCAGCAGCCGCGGUAAUACGUAGGGUGCGAGCGUUGUCCGGAAUUACUGGGCGUAAAGAGCUCGUAGGUGGUUUGUCGCGUUGUCCGUGAAAUCUCACAGCUUAACUGUGAGCGUGCGGGCGAUACGGGCAGACUGGAGUACUGCAGGGGAGACUGGAAUUCCUGGUGUAGCGGUGGAAUGCGCAGAUAUCAGGAGGAACACCGGUGGCGAAGGCGGGUCUCUGGGCAGUAACUGACGCUGAGGAGCGAAAGCGUGGGGAGCGAACAGGAUUAGAUACCCUGGUAGGUCAGU